Molecule: ribosomal RNA, 480 nt
Filed under: uncultured bacterium
Lineage: Bacteria
Description: partial 16S ribosomal RNA
Rfam family: Bacterial small subunit ribosomal RNA
Source: RNAcentral
UGAACGCUGGCGGCAUGCCUUACACAUGCAAGUCGAACGGUAACGCGGGGCAACCUGGCGACGAGUGGCGAACGGGUGAGUAAUGCAUCGGAACGUGCCCAGAAGUGGGGGAUAGCCCGGCGAAAGCCGGAUUAAUACCGCAUGAGACCUGAGGGUGAAAGCGGGGGAUCGCAAGACCUCGCGCUUUUGGAGCGGCCGAUGUCAGAUUAGCUAGUUGGUGGGGUAAAGGCCUACCAAGGCGACGAUCUGUAGCUGGUCUGAGAGGACGACCAGCCACACUGGGACUGAGACACGGCCCAGACUCCUACGGGAGGCAGCAGUGGGGAAUUUUGGACAAUGGGCGCAAGCCUGAUCCAGCCAUGCCGCGUGCGGGAAGAAGGCCUUCGGGUUGUAAACCGCUUUUGUCAGGGAAGAAACGCUCUGGGCUAAUACCCUGGGGUAAUGACGGUACCUGAAGAAUAAGCACCGGCUAACUACGUG